RNAcentral lists this ribosomal RNA (274 nucleotides) under uncultured bacterium. RNAcentral describes it as "partial 16S ribosomal RNA". It matches the Rfam family "Bacterial small subunit ribosomal RNA", at positions 523 to 796 of the family's 1533-position model. The record is from RNAcentral.
AUACGGAGGGUGCAAGCGUUACUCGGAAUCACUGGGCGUAAAGCGCGCGCAGGCGGCUUGAUAAGUUGGAUGUGAAAGCCUACGGCUCAACCGUAGAACUGCAUCCAAAACUGUCAGUCUAGAGUCUGGGAGGGGAAGAUGGAAUUAGUUGUGUAGGGGUAAAAUCCGUAGAGAUAACUAGGAAUACCAAAAGCGAAGGCGAUCUUCUGGAACAGUACUGACGCUGAGGCGCGAAAGCGUGGGGAGCAAACAGGAUUAGAUACCCCUGUAGUCC